Schistosoma mattheei is the source of this 45-nucleotide non-coding RNA. The record is from Rfam. Lineage: Eukaryota; Metazoa; Platyhelminthes; Trematoda; Strigeidida; Schistosomatidae.
GUCUGAUCGACGAGUCCAAGACGGGACGAAACAUGUGUCCUGGAU